UAUUGGGUUUCUCUCUCUACGAGUUGUGGCGGCUGCUGACUGCUCGACUUAAGUCUUGAUUAGCUGUGGUCCUUGUAAUUGCCCGCUUCCCCCUAAUCUCUUCCUUUUGGUGUUCGAUUGCUCCAUAUUUACGCACUGCCUUGCUCCAUCCUUUCAACUGUUCUAGUCUUUCGAUAUCGAAUGAGGGCACUAGAGAUGAGUUGAACUGGCUUGUUGCUAGACCAUUCUUUGAUACCUUUUUUGGUCAAUGGCUCGUAAAGGAAACCGACAGAAGUACAGAAAAGGAGUUUCAGAUUCUGGAUCUGGAUUUGUAAAUGAGAAUGAAAACAGUAGUCUGACUGAGGCAGAGGGCAAAAAUGCAGAACCUUUUAAUGGUAAUCUUUCCGGCAUAUCUCUAACAGAGAGCUUCAACAAUACACAUGAAAGUGAAGGCAAGAAAAGCAAGCACAAAUCUAGAAGAUCACUUAAAAAGGAAAAGGAAGAUAUUGAUACAUUGUCAAUUGCAGAGGAAAUAGGGCCUGAAGAAGGCUGUGGUGCAGGAAUUUUCCAAAGUCAUAAAAGUAGAGGGGUGACUCCCGAGUCAAGAGAAGGUGGUGAGACGUCUCCGCACACUAGUCACCGCUCAGACAAUUCAAAUAGAUGUUUUGGCCAGUUCGGAACAGGAUUAGAUAGAGACAAUAUAUUAGAAAAUUUUAAAGUGUCUAUUAUCGUAGUUUUUAGGAACUUGAUGACAUUGGCUCUGUCUGUCUCAAAGGCAUCAAUUCGGUGGUUAGAGAGGUGGAAACCUUUGCUUGACCCUUUAAGGAGAAAUUUAUUAAUUGCGAGUAAGCAUGUUCAAGAAAAGGUUCAUCAUGCAUACCCUAUAGUGGUUCGGUGGAUCAUGCACAAUUUAUUCAUUGCGACUGGGUAUGUUCAAGAAAGGGUUCAGCAUGCAUAUCCUAUAGUGUUAAGGUGGAUCAUGCAUUUUGGAAAUAUAAUUAUUCUAUUAUCAAUGGUUUGGUUGGAUUGUGCUCUUAGAGGAAUUGAGUCCUUUCUAUGCAUGGGGAUGACUUCAAUUCUCUCAGUCAUCUGGUGGGGUGUUCUAUCUUUGAUUGCAGCCGCUAAAUUCAAGUUUCUAUUAAUUUUGGCAGCAGUUGCUGUGAUUGGACUUCUUACUGGGUUCAUCAUCGCAGUUCUAGGAGUUGCUGCAGUGAGCAUCAGUUACUUGUGGUUCUAUGGAAGAUUUUGGGCAGCGGUGCUUCUGGUCUUGAGUGGAGGAGUGCUUUACAGGUUGAAGCAUGAACGGCUUGCGGUGUUUGUCGUAAAUUUGUAUUCUGUAUAUUGCGCAUGGACAUAUGUCGGAUGGCUUGGUUUAAUCUUUGGUUUGAAUUUAUCAUUUAUUUCGAGUGAUAUUCUCAUAUUCUUCUUAAGAAACAAUGUAAAUGAUAAUAGAAGGCCAAACAGCUUUCCUGAUCAAACAACUGGAGUACAAGGUGAACCUAGCUUCUAUUCUGGUGGAUCAGUGCCUCCAUCUGCUGAUGAUGUGUAUGUUCAUACAGCUGAUCGUGGCACUGGGAUCCCUUCAACUAGUGGAUCUGACACUGAUAUGACAUCUGAAGACGAAGUUGUCAGAUUGUUAAACAGUACAGAUCACUAUUCAGCACUGGGCCUGAGCCGAUUUCAGAAUAUAGAUGCUUCAGUUCUCAAGAAAGAAUAUAGGAAAAAGGCAAUGCUGGUUCAUCCUGAUAAAAACAUGGGCAAUGAAAAGGCUGCUGAAGCUUUUAAGAAACUUCAAAACGCCUAUGAGGUCUUACUUGAUUCUUUAAAGCGAAAAGCAUAUGAUGAUGAAUUGAGGAGGGAAGAGCUGCUGGACUACCUUCGGCGGUUCCAAAGUCCUUCACAGAAGGGUAGAGGCUAUGGGUUCUUUACUUCUGGAUUCACACAGACAGAAGCUGCGGCAGAGGAUUCUCUUGCAGACGCUCGACGAAUUACUUGCAAGAAGUGUGGCAACUUUCAUGUCUGGGUUUUCACUAAGAAAACAAAGUCCAAAGCAAGAUGGUGCCAGGAAUGCAAUGAUUUUCAUCCAGCAAAAGAUGGAGAUGGAUGGGUUGAACAGCCUUCACAUCCAUUCUUUUUUGGAAUGCUACUGAAGGUAGAUAAUCCUGUCACCUAUGUUUGUGCUGAUAGCAGGAUCUAUAAUGCUACUGAAUGGUAUAUCUGUCAGGGAAUGAGAUGUCCGGUCAACAGUCACAAGCCAAGCUUCCAUGUAAAUACAAGUGUAACCAUGAAGAGCAGCAAUGGGAAGAGAAGUAGCUCAGGACAAAGAGGCCCAAGUAUGGAAGAAACCAUGACCGAGGAGGAAUUUGUUGAGUGGCUACAGAAUGCUGUACAAUCUGGUACAUUUGGCGAUUUUGAUGGCAGCACACCACAGAGAUCAGCUGGCACUAGUACUAGCAACAACGCUAGUGGAAGCGGAAGUGGAAGCAAGAGAAAGAAAAAGGGGAAGAAGCAAUGUGGCUAACACUUCGGUUCUGUGCUUCUCUUCUACCAGAGAAGUUUCAAAGCUUCUUAUAAGCCAAAAAGGCAUAGUUCAUGGCUAGUAGUGACCCAAAAGCAUGCACAACCUCCGGAGUAGUAGGCUAUUUGGAGGAA
RNA transcript from Nicotiana attenuata, 2631 nucleotides. RefSeq lists it as uncharacterized. The record is from RefSeq and is a predicted model, not a curated record. NCBI's taxonomy places the organism in Eukaryota, Viridiplantae, Streptophyta, Magnoliopsida, Solanales, Solanaceae. The transcript has 12 exons.